UCGAAACAUAAUAACGAUUAAUUAAGCACAUAUACAAUAACGUUUACGAAUGAAUAUUGCGAAUUAUUGUAUGGCUUUAAUGCGGUAUUUAAUGUUUUGAUUGCGGUCUUUGAAAUGGUAUCAUAGGUGCUGAUAUAAUAUCGCGCGAAAAAGGAAAGACCAGUGGUUAAUAUUGCAGGUGCACCAGUGCGUUGCGCUCGUCAAGGGUGGUUUUGACGCUGGUGCCGAGGAAAGGCGCAGAACGUGUUCGAUCGACCCGCGAACGUAGCCUGUGCUCAUACUGCGACAGAGUUCGUUUCAGUUAGGCUUAGUCGCUGUUUGUCCGUCGACAGCGUAUAGUCGCGUCGGCCUACGAUUCCUUUUUUCUUCUUGUUUCUUGCGAACUCUCUCGCAACAGCUGUUGCUUCCCUUACCCUCUCACGUCCUUCGAAGAAGACCUCCCUUUGGUUUUUCCUUGUUUAGAGGGAAUUCAUCGCUCGGACACAUGGACUGCGAAGCACGAGGGUUGAUCGAGGCAUCAGCGUGAUGUACUUUUCAGGUUUCAUAUUUUCUCUAUGAUACUUUCUAAGGAGAAUUUGGAAGAUAUACAUUUUUAGGAAAUAAAGGUUUUUAUGGAGUCAUCGAUAGGUUAGAAUUUAAUUAACUCUCUUAUAACAGGUAUUCCAAUUUUUUAAUAUAUAAAUUUAGUUUCCUCUAUGGUGUUAGAGAACAUAAUGCGGGCAUUUUAUGAUAUAACGAAUAUAUUCGUAUAUAUUUUAGUUUAUUCAUUCGUCAAAUUUCCCUAGUAGGCCGGCCUGCAGCUCACAUGCAGCACUUAGUAAAAAUUUGUUUUGUUAGAGGUUGGCCAUUCUUCUUGCUAUAAAAAUAUCGUGAAGUCAUAUCAUAUGAUAAAGCAACUUCUGAAAGCUAGAUGCUCGAUAACGAGCCUAAUGAUUCUCGGUAGUUUGUAAUGUCAAGCUUUGAAUUGGCGAGAUCGCUCUGCUGUCAAACCGCUGCUGCAAUAAUCGCGUAACAGCAGAGUAGCGUCGGACUCCUACCGACUAAAACUCCACGAUGACCAUCUUAUGCGCGUGACAGGGGUGCUCCAGGAACCUCUCAUGAAUUAACUUCAGUUGCAUCCCCUUCUCGCGUUCUCUUGUUCGAGCCGGCUAUUGAGUAGGCGUUAGGGGGAGGUCGUUGUCACUUCUUCUGGUCGUAGUCCGUUGGGGUGGUGGCGGGGCGGCUCUGGGUCGUCUGACUGCCAUCCUUCUCCAUCGUCUUAUCCUGCAGGGGUGAGAGUUUUUCUUUCUCUCCCUUUCCGCUCGCUCCUUCGCGAGCAUAACUCGCUCGCAGAAGAGGCGGACGCAAGGUGUAGUGGGGCAGCUCCCACGCCGGACAGAGCUCCAGGGUGUGCUGCGCUGUGUCCCUGCCCUUUCCGCAGAACCUAUCAUUAUUUUACUACAGAAUCCUCAAAAACAUGAUUUUACAGAGGAUAAAGCGUGGGUAACUCACGACUGUCGCGAUCAUGACACUAUACAUACCUAUGUAUAGCACGUAUACUAAGCUAACUAAAAUAGCAAGUCAGAGAAAUGGAAACUUAGGAAAAUCUAAAGGAAGAUAAAACGUUCGAGCCUUGCCAGGAAUAUAAGAUGCUAAGUAAUCUUCCUAAGUAAUCUCCUCCAGCUUUUUCUAGUUUGAUCAAUAAUUAUUAGUACAUGUUAGGAAAAUAAAUAGAAUUUUUGUUCUCAAGCGAGGUAUAAUUUAAAUUUUGUAUGUACACAAAAAUGUUAAAUAUCUGUAAUAAACAUGGUAUAAUCAAUUUUUUUACAUAAAAUUAUAUUGUAUAGGCUAUUGUUAUUUAAACAUUUUAAAUUGGAUGAAGAAAAAAAUGACGCAAAUAAAACGUAGGACAUUUUAAUUAAAGAGACUAAUAUAGAGAUUUAUCUACUUAA
Molecule: long non-coding RNA, 1931 nt
Organism: Bombus huntii
Lineage: Eukaryota; Metazoa; Arthropoda; Insecta; Hymenoptera; Apidae
Exons: 2
Source: RefSeq, a predicted model, not a curated record